GCUCAUCGCAUCCUGGGGCUGUAGUCGGUCACAAGGGUUGGGCUGUUCGCCCAUAAAAGCGGUACGCGAGCUGGGUUCAGAACGUCGUGAGACAGUUCUGUCCCUAUCCGUCGUGGGCGUAGGAAAUUUGAGAGGAGCUGUCCUUAGUACGAGAGGACCGGGAUGGACAUACCUCUGGUGUACCAGUUGUCGUGCCUACGGCAUAGCUGGGUAGCUAUGUGUGGACGGGAUAAGUGCUGAAAGCAUCUAAGCAUGAAGCCCCCCUCAAUAUGAUAUUUCCCAACUUCGGU
This 290-nucleotide ribosomal RNA is filed under the name Staphylococcus aureus. RNAcentral's name for it is "partial 23S ribosomal RNA". It matches the Rfam family "Bacterial large subunit ribosomal RNA", at positions 2535 to 2824 of the family's 2925-position model. The record is from RNAcentral. Lineage: Bacteria; Bacillati; Bacillota; Bacilli; Caryophanales; Staphylococcaceae.